GUGUCAGCAGCCGCGGUAAUACGAAGGGGGCAAGCGUUGUUCGGAAUUACUGGGCGUAAAGGGCGCGUAGGCGGUGCGUUAAGUCAGAUGUGAAAGCCCCGGGCUCAACCCGGGAACUGCAUUUGAUACUGGCGCGCUCGAAUCCGGGAGAGGUUGGUGGAAUUCCCAGUGUAGAGGUGAAAUUCGUAGAGAUUGGGAAGAACACCGGUGGCGAAGGCGGCCAACUGGACCGGUAUUGACGCUGAGGCGCGAAAGCGUGGGGAGCAAACAGGAUUAGAAACCCCCGUAGUCC
RNAcentral lists this ribosomal RNA (292 nucleotides) under uncultured bacterium. RNAcentral's name for it is "partial 16S ribosomal RNA". It matches the Rfam family "Bacterial small subunit ribosomal RNA", at positions 505 to 796 of the family's 1533-position model. The record is from RNAcentral.